This is a long non-coding RNA of Diabrotica virgifera virgifera (western corn rootworm), 970 nucleotides long. RefSeq lists it as uncharacterized. The transcript is spliced from 2 exons. Lineage: Eukaryota; Metazoa; Arthropoda; Insecta; Coleoptera; Chrysomelidae. The record is from RefSeq and is a predicted model, not a curated record.
CACCCGGUAUUAUAGUAGGUUUGUUCUAGCAUCAGUUUCAAACGGUUUGAAACCAUCAGCGAAUAGGCCGUUUCAACAUGCUGUCAAAAUUAAACCAAUAUGGCUACCGGGAGUCAAACAUAAAUGUUAUUCUCUCAGGUUCUUAAUGUGUUUUAGAUAAUUUUAGUUGUGUUUCUUUGUAAUUUUGUGUUGUACAAAGAUUAAUUUAACAUUUUCUCUGGAAGUAUUAAAUUAGAAAGAUAAUAUGCCUACUUAUAUAUACCUUAUCUAUGAUAAUAUGCCUCAUUGGUGUUGUGUUUUGAAGUGUUAAAUGCAAAGUAAUCGUGAUCAGUAAUGCAAAGUAAUCCUGAAAAAGAUAACUUUUACCACUUACCAUCAGUGCUACAUUCUAAGCACAAAACUGAACUAAAUAAGUUAUCAUCUGAGAAACAAUGGUUAAAUGCAAUAAAAUGUAAAGGUUUUAUUAGCGAAAUGAAAAUUCUCCUGUCUCAUGUAAUCAUUUUAUAUCUGGUAAGUUACAACAUUUGAACAUUAACGAUUUUUGAAGAUGUUAACACUCUAAUCUUGUAGGAAAACCAGCCGACUUAGCUGAUAAUAACAAUCCAGAUUGGGGUCCUUCAAUAAAUAUGGGGUAUAUAAACACAAUGAAAUGAGUUCCCCAAAAUCUAAAAUGGAGCAGUAUCAAAGGAGAAUUAAAAGAAAAGGGUACCUACAAGAAAAAAUUGCUUUUUUAUUCCUCUUGAAAUGAUUUAUAAGACACUGGACUGUCUUAUAUUCUACAAAUACUAGAAUCAGCUGAGAGAAGUGGUCUACAAAAAACCAGGAAGGAAACGGAAUAUGUGGCUACGAAAGGCAAAAGAAAGGUUUACAAAGCCAAUGUGACACAUUUUUUUAAAUAUUUAGGAGUAUCAGUAAAUUACAUUAAAAAAAUGUAUGAAAAGAUUUUGUUCAAUAAAAAUGUUUAUAUUUA